This 331-nucleotide unclassified non-coding RNA is filed under the name uncultured Suillus. RNAcentral's name for it is "sequence contains ITS2". The stretch from base 1 to 52 matches the Rfam family "5.8S ribosomal RNA", at positions 103 to 154 of the family's 154-position model. The record is from RNAcentral. Lineage: Eukaryota; Fungi; Basidiomycota; Agaricomycetes; Boletales; Suillaceae.
AACGCACCUUGCGCUCCUCGGUGUUCCGAGGAGCAUGCCUGUUUGAGCGUCAGUAAAUUCUCAACCCCUCUCGAUUAGCUUCGAAAGGGCGCUUGGAUAGUGGGGGCUGCCGGAGAUCUGGACUUUUCGUCUGGGACUCGGGCUCUCCUGAAAUGAAUGGGCUUGCGGUCGGCUUUCGACUAUGCAUGACAAGGCUUUUGGCGUGAUAAUGAUCGCCGCUCGCCGAAGUGCAUGAAUGAAUGGUCCCGUGCCUCUAAUGCGUCGAUGCCUUCUGGCGUCUUCCUUAUUGACUUUUGACCUCAAAUCAGGUAGGACUACCCGCUGAACUUAA